CAUAUGAUGCAGCUUUCAAGUUGAAGGCGAUUGAUCUGGCUGUUGGAAAAGGAAAUAAAGCUGCUGCACGGGAGCUUGGUCUUAAUGAGUUGAUGAUAAGACGUUGGAAACAGCAGCGUGAGGAAUUGACUCAGUGCAAAAAGACAACUAAACUUACUGCUAAUUUUUUAUUACAAGCCGUGUUUCGUUAAAGCCUGUGUAAAGUUAAUUUGUUUCAAUGUACCGGUAGGCACCUGCGGCUUAUAGACAUGUGCGGCUUAUUUAUGUUCAAAAUAAAAAAAACAUUUUAAUUCAGUGGGUGCGGCUUAUAUUCAGGUGCGCUUAAUAGUCCGGAAAUUACGGUAAUAAGCCUGAAUGGAAACCUUUUCUAGACUUGUCUUUAGGGUAAGAAAAACCCAGUCCUGGUUUGAAUGGACCACUGCGCACUAACUCAGUCCUCAUAAAGUCUGUUAAGCCUGGGGGCCAAUCUGCUGGGUCAUUUGAUGGAGCAGCAACUGUUCUAUUAGGCUCUGAGCUGCUUCUAUCUGAUGCUGGCUGAACACCUCUAUUUGUGCUAGUACUGGCUGAGGCUGCCUGUACUUCACCUGGGUCUGUGUUAGUACUUGCUGAAGACGGCUGUACUGGGUCUGUGUUAGUACUUGCUGAAGAUGGCUGUACUGGGUCUGUGUUAGUACUGGCUGAAGCUGCCUGUACUGGGUCUGUGUUAGUACUGGCUGAAGCUGCCUGUACUGGGUCUGUGUUAGUAGUUGCUGAAGCUGCCUGUACUGGGUCUGUGUUAGUACUUGCUGAAGAUGGCUGUAUUGGGUCUGUGUUAGUACUGGCUGAAGCUGCCAGUACUGGGUCUGUGUUAGUACUUGCUGAAGCUGCCUGUACUGGGUCUGUGUUAGUACUUGCUGAAGACGGCUGUACUGGGUCUGUGUUAGUACUGGCUGAGGUUGGAUGUGGAUCAACUGAGUCUGUGCUUGUACUGACUUAUGAUCCAGCAUCUCCUCUACUGACAAAUGUAAGUAUAGCACCUGUAAAUUAUAGAUAACAACACUAUUGUAGCGACCCGCACAGACAGCUGUGGGUUAUGUGUUAGGCUAUUAGUGGGUUGUGUCGUACUUACCAGUGUUCGCGGGGUCAUGCCAAUCAACCUGCUAUCUGCCAAUCACGGGAAUGCCUGGAAUUUUCUGAUACCGGGUAGCCUGGUGGUUGGUGGAGUGGCGUGGAGGGGGGUUGGGCAGGGGGAUGGAGCAUUGGAAGUUAAGACCAGGUUUAGCCAUUGUUCUCUCUCUUACGUCUGGGCUUCACAAGAGAAGGUCACGGUUGGUUUGUAGGGUACCUUUCAUUUUUUGGCGUGGGCUACGGCCAAACAGUAGCCUGUGUUAAGUUGGGUUAAUAAACCGUCCAGCUAAUCAACAUUUUAAAUUCAAUAUAUAAAUCAAUAGUCAAUGUCAAUCCAUUGUUUUUCGUCUUGAAUUAGUCCAGAGUUGUAACUAAACCUUGACUGAGAGACUAGAUAAUCAUUGUCUUGUUUUAAAAUUAUGUGCGCCUAUGAGGAGUGCCAUCAAGCCCAUAUAUUGUCUUGACUGGUCCCCACAGAGGUUGCUGCUGGAAAGCGCGAGUUUCACUUCGUGCACGCGCAUAUCAACAAAUGUUCACGCACAACGCGGUUAUCUUUUCCGAGCUGCAGUUUAUAAACACCGUUGCCCGUUGGCGUUUAUCAAACGUAAUAAAUAGUUGUAUUUCACUCUCACCUUUGUCAGGCACAAAGUCACAGAACACAGCCCUGGAAGUGGCUGGCAAGCAAGCAAGACACAGAGAGACCAAGAGAUGCACUGCCAAGCUAGAAGGAUAGUUCCGCUUCAUCCUCUCAUCGAAGUUGUAAACAGUGACACCCGCUUUGGCACGAGGAGGAGGCGGGGACCUUGCGUAAUUUGCGGAACCCUACGCAACUUGCGUAGUGAGCGUAUAGGGCCACUCGACUCUGGUCACUGGUUUGAGUCGCUGGUGAAAAAUCUGUCGAUGUGCCCUUGAUCAAGGCACA
RNAcentral lists this long non-coding RNA (2029 nucleotides) under Salmo salar (Atlantic salmon). RNAcentral describes it as "lncRNA (ENSSSAG00000094576.1)". Lineage: Eukaryota; Metazoa; Chordata; Actinopteri; Salmoniformes; Salmonidae. The record is from RNAcentral.